This 506-nucleotide ribosomal RNA is filed under the name uncultured bacterium. RNAcentral's name for it is "partial 16S ribosomal RNA". It matches the Rfam family "Bacterial small subunit ribosomal RNA", at positions 30 to 523 of the family's 1533-position model. The record is from RNAcentral.
AUUGAACGCUGGCGGCAGGCCUAACACAUGCAAGUCGAACGGUAACAGGAAACAGCUUGCUGUUUCGCUGACGAGUGGCGGACGGGUGAGUAAUGUCUGGGUAACUGCCUGAUGGAGGGGGAUAACUACUGGGAACGGUAGCUAAUACCGCAUAACGUCGCAAGACCAAAGAGGGGGACCUUCGGGCCUCUUGCCAUCGGAUGUGCCCAGAUGGGAUUAGCUAGUAGGUGGGGUAACGGCUCACCUAGGCGACGAUCCCUAGCUGGUCUGAGAGGAUGACCAGCCACACUGGAACUGAGACACGGUCCAGACUCCUACGGGAGGCAGCAGUGGGGAAUAUUGCACAAUGGGCGCAAGCCUGAUGCAGCCAUGCCGCGUGUAUGAAGAAGGCCUUCGGGUUGUAAAGUACUUUCAGCGGGGAGGAAGGGAGUAAAGUCAAUACCUUUGCUCAUUGACGUUACCCGCAGAAGAAGCACCGGCUAACUCCGUGCCAGCAGCCGCAGUAA